UGGUAAAUAACAUUAAUCAACUUCUGAUU
RNAcentral lists this non-coding RNA (29 nucleotides) under Rattus norvegicus (Norway rat). The record is from RNAcentral. Lineage: Eukaryota; Metazoa; Chordata; Mammalia; Rodentia; Muridae.